GAAGCUGACCAGACAGUCGCCGCUUCGUCGUCGUCCUUUCGGGGAGACGGGCGGAGGGGAGGAAAGUCCGGGCUCCAUAGGGCAGGGUGCCAGGUAACGCCUGGGGGGGAAACCCACGACAAGUGCAACAGAGAGCAAACCGCCGAUGGCCCACGUAAGUGGGAUCAGGUAAGGGUGAAAGGGUGCGGUAAGAGCGCACCGCGCGGCUGGUAACAGUCCGUGGCACGGUAAACUCCACCCGGAGCAAGGCCAAAUAGGGGUUCAUAAGGUACGGCCCGUACUGAACCCGGGUAGGCUGCUUGAGCCAGUGAGCGAUUGCUGGCCUAGAUGAAUGACUGUCCACGACAGAACCCGGCUUAUCGGUCAGUUUCACCU
RNAcentral lists this RNase P RNA (375 nucleotides) under Salmonella enterica subsp. salamae. RNAcentral's name for it is "RNase P RNA component class A". It matches the Rfam family "Bacterial RNase P class A". From Rfam's summary of the family: Ribonuclease P (RNase P) is a ubiquitous endoribonuclease, found in archaea, bacteria and eukarya as well as chloroplasts and mitochondria. Its best characterised activity is the generation of mature 5'-ends of tRNAs by cleaving the 5'-leader elements of precursor-tRNAs. Lineage: Bacteria; Pseudomonadati; Pseudomonadota; Gammaproteobacteria; Enterobacterales; Enterobacteriaceae. The record is from RNAcentral.